This 433-nucleotide ribosomal RNA is filed under the name uncultured bacterium. RNAcentral describes it as "partial 16S ribosomal RNA". It matches the Rfam family "Bacterial small subunit ribosomal RNA", at positions 29 to 507 of the family's 1533-position model. The record is from RNAcentral.
AACGAACGCUGGCGGCAGGCCUAACACAUGCAAGUCGAGCGGACCUUUCGGGGUCAGCGGCGGACGGGUGAGUAACGCGUGGGAAUAUGCCCUUCUCUACGGAAUAGUCCUGGGAAACUGGGGGUAAUACCGUAUAGGCCCUUGGGGGGAAGGAUUUAUCGGGGAAGGAUUAGCCCGCGUUGGAUUAGGUAGUUGGUGGGGUAAUGGCCUACCAAGCCGACGAUCCAUAGCUGGUUUGAGAGGAUGAUCAGCCACACUGGGACUGAGACACGGCCCAGACUCCUACGGGAAGCAGCAGUGGGGAAUCUUAGACAAUGGGGGCAACCCUGAUCUAGCCAUGCCGCGUGAGUGAUGAAGGCCUUAGGGUUGUAAAGCUCUUUCAGCUGGGAAGAUAAUGACGGUACCAGCAGAAGAAGCCCCGGCUAACUCCGUG